Molecule: ribosomal RNA, 262 nt
Filed under: uncultured archaeon
Lineage: Archaea
Description: partial 16S ribosomal RNA
Rfam family: Archaeal small subunit ribosomal RNA
Source: RNAcentral
CAGCCGUAAACAAUGUGCGUUAGGUGUGUCGGUAACCACGCGUUACUGAUGCGCCGAAGAGAAAUCGUGAAACGCACCACCUGGGAAGUACGGUCGCAAGGCUGAAACUUAAAGGAAUUGGCGGGGGGAGCACCACAACAGGUGGAGCCUGCGGUUUAAUUGGAUUCAACGCCGGACAUCUCACCGGAUAAGACAGCUGAAUGAUUGUCAAUCUGAAGGUUUUACAUGACUAGCUGAGAGGAGGUGCAUGGCGUAGACGUCU